This 437-nucleotide ribosomal RNA is filed under the name uncultured bacterium. RNAcentral describes it as "partial 16S ribosomal RNA". It matches the Rfam family "Bacterial small subunit ribosomal RNA", at positions 29 to 507 of the family's 1533-position model. The record is from RNAcentral.
AGCGAACGCUGGCGGCAGGCUUAACACAUGCAAGUCGAGCGGGCAUCCUUGUGGUGUCAGCGGCAGACGGGUGAGUAACGCGUGGGAACGUGCCCUUCGGUUCGGAAUAACUCAGGGAAACUUGAGCUAAUACCGGAUACGUGCGAGAGCAGAAAGGUUUAUCUGCCGAAGGAUCGGCCCGCGUCUGAUUAGCUAGUUGGUGAGGUUAUGGCUCACCAAGGCGACGAUCAGUAGCUGGUCUGAGAGGAUGAUCAGCCACACUGGGACUGAGACACGGCCCAGACUCCUACGGGAGGCAGCAGUGGGGAAUAUUGGACAAUGGGGGCAACCCUGAUUCAGCCAUGCCGCGUGAGUGAUGACGGCCUUAGGGUUGUAAAGCUCUUUUCUCCGGGACGAUAAUGACGGUACCGGAGGAAUAAGCCCCGGCUAACUUCGUG